AUAUACAGCCAUAGCACCCUGAGAAUGCCCCAUCUUGUCUGAUGUGGGAAGCUAAGCAGGGUCAGGCCUGGUUAGUACUUGGAUGGGAGACCAGUGGAAGGCCAAUGGUACCUGGGGGGG
RNAcentral lists this ribosomal RNA (120 nucleotides) under Columba livia (rock pigeon). The record is from RNAcentral. Lineage: Eukaryota; Metazoa; Chordata; Aves; Columbiformes; Columbidae.